UAUAUGUACCUAUAUGUGUGAAAUUUUAUAUAUACACAUAAGCAUCAUCGAAUUAGUUAAGUGAAAUAGAUUUGAAAAUUAGACUAAUUCUUGGACCAAUUUCUUAAUUAAUUCUCAGCCUUGAAAACCUAAUUAAAGUCAGCCCAAAAUCCCCAAAAACUACCAGCCCAAUCCAAUACCCCUUUUCGGCCUAACAAUAACCAAGCUGCCCAACCCAACUAGAAAACCCCUAACCCGGCCCAAAAAGCCUCAUUCCUAAACCAGCUAACACCCCUAAAUCUUCUCAUUCCUCUUCAUGUUAAAAUUCAACCAAAACUAAGCUCCUAUCACCUCAAUCACGAUAAAUACGCCUGAUUUUUGGGCUUUUACAGAGCCAACAGCUACAAUAGUCUUCUCCAUCACUUCAAGCUCUGAAAAUAAAGACUUUUUUGCUCCCUUUCCCCCUCCCUUUUUUAUUUUUUGAAUUCUGAAUUUGAGAUUCUUAAAGAAGCCGUUGCAGCCCUUUUACCUAUGAAAAGGGAGUCUUGUUCACAGUGAAGGACCAAGAAAAACGAUUAUCAAAUUAGCACUAAAAAUCGGGAAGUUCAUACCUUUAUUUCCUCCUCCUUUUGUUUUCCGAGUUCAAAGUUUGAGCUAGUGCGAAUCUCCAACGGAAGAGCCCUUGCUGCCUCGAAAAACGUUAGCGUAUGUAAUAACAGGUUAUUUUGGGAUUGCUUUUCUACAAUUGUUCGAAGGCACGAUUUGAGUAUACACGCAACAUGCCUAAAAAUGUUCUUAUCGGUGAAAACAUAGUCAAAAACUUGCAAAUUCAAAUGCCCAUGUUAUGUAGAUACAUUGACCCUUUCUUGUGCUAAGUAUAGUUAAUAUACCCUUUUAAAUUUCAACAUUGAUAAAAUAAUUUUGCAGGGACUUAGUUUUGUCUAUGUGGUGAGUCCCUGAAUAGACAAUCUAAUAUAAAGGUGUGCAUAAGACAUUAGUAUUCUCAGCAUUUUGUUCAUUAUCGAACUUAGCAGCUAGCCGAUGUUCGGCCACAACUAUUAUUCUUAAUAUAACAUUUUUUGUCAAGUUAAA
Long non-coding RNA from Capsicum annuum, 1071 nucleotides. RefSeq lists it as uncharacterized. Lineage: Eukaryota; Viridiplantae; Streptophyta; Magnoliopsida; Solanales; Solanaceae. The record is from RefSeq and is a predicted model, not a curated record. The transcript is spliced from 2 exons.